AUUGAACGCUGGCGGCAGGCCUAACACAUGCAAGUCGAACGGUAACAGGAAGCAGCUUGCUGCUUCGCUGACGAGUGGCGGACGGGUGAGUAAUGUCUGGGAAGCUGCCUGAUGGAGGGGGAUAACUACUGGAAACGGUAGCUAAUACCGCAUAAUGUCGCAAGACCAAAGAGGGGGACCUUCGGGCCUCUUGCCAUCGGAUGUGCCCAGAUGGGAUUAGCUUGUUGGUGGGGUAACGGCUCACCAAGGCGACGAUCCCUAGCUGGUCUGAGAGGAUGACCAGCCACACUGGAUCUGAGACACGGUCCAGACUCCUACGGGAGGCAGCAGUGGGGAAUAUUGCACAAUGGGCGCAAGCCUGAUGCAGCCAUGCCGCGUGUAUGAAGAAGGCCUUCGGGUUGUAAAGUACUUUCAGCGGGGAGGAAGGGAGUAAAGUUAAUACCUUUGCUCAUUGACGUUACCCGCAGAAGAAGCACCGGCUAACUCCGUG
Molecule: ribosomal RNA, 490 nt
Filed under: uncultured bacterium
Lineage: Bacteria
Description: partial 16S ribosomal RNA
Rfam family: Bacterial small subunit ribosomal RNA
Source: RNAcentral